CAAUUUUCUAACAGUGGUUUUAGACUCCGCAUCCAGCUUUAUGGUCCUACAAUUUGUGUCCUGUGAUGUUGAUAGACAGUUGAUAGUUGAUUACAAAUGAGACAUAGAUAGAGAGUCCUCAAAUAUCAUUAUUUGACAUAUGUCCCUUUCUGUUUUAUGAUACAGGGCUGCUCCAGCUCGACAAACACGAGUGGAUCCAACGGCAGUGGAGUUUUCAGUUGUUUUCAAUCGGUCUGUCCCCUUUUCAGCACUCCCAAUGAAUCCUGUUGUUGCUCAAACCUUAGUUGAUGCUGCAAAUGAUUCCAACAUCUUCAAUGUGACCUUUGGUGCCUCUUCAGUUGAAUUAAUAUCGGGUCCAGUUCCUGCAACUACAAUUGCUGCAACGACAACUGCUGCAACUACAAUUGCCGCAACGACAACUGCUGCAACUACAACAGCUGUAACUACUACUUUUGCACCUGAAAUAGCUGCAACUACAACUGCUGCAACUACUACUGCUGCAAUGACAACUGCUGCAACUACAACUGCUGCACCUGCAACAACUGUAACAUCAACUGCUGCAUCCACAACAGAUGCAACAACAAACAAUAUGUCCUUCCGAUCUGUUAAUCCAUGCAUUUAUUUAAUGCUGCUUUUCUUGGCCCAUAUCAUACUAAUUUAAUUAUUGAUUAACAACAACAAGACUCCAUAUUGCUGGGAUAUAUGUGUAUAUAUAUAUAGUUGUAUAAAUAGUUGGGUAAGUUAUAUAACCAAUAGGUAUUGAAAAGUUCUUUAAAAUUUAAUUGGAUGAACCCUACAUAAACCCUGUAACUCAUGUACAUUCUUAAGUACUCUAACUGUUGCAACACCAAAAGCAGGUAGAAAUUUAGGUUUCAUGAUGAUCUUAAGUGUUGUAUGAUUUCAGAGCUUUCUAUCAAAUUUUUUGACCGUAGAGUAGUAUGGCUGUUGAACUAUACACAAUUUUGUGAGACAAUGUCCAGCUACUGAGCCGGACAGAAUGACACAGCCAGAAAAUAAUGGCACUACUGCACAAUUAAUAUCUUCCCUCUUUCAAAUAAAUGUAAGUCUUUUUUAAUUUGUACAAGCAAGAGAUUAUUCAAAAUGCUUUUUUAAAUUGUAUGUAAAAUGAUCUAAACCACUCUGUAGUCUCCAAAUACAUGUAAAAUGCAUGCUUAUAGUUCACUUGAUAGCAUGAAAGUAUAACAUAGCAUAGCAAAAAAUCCCCUCCACAUAAAGGACAUUGUAAAGGAAACAAGUGUCUUAAAUGAGGUGAAGGAACACAUGCAGCUUAUAGUGGACUGUACACAACAAUGUUGAAUCAAUGCCAAAAGUUUUUUUUUCGGGUCAUGGUCUAAAUUGAUAUAUAUGUAAAAACAAUGCACUUUCAAUGUUCUUAUUUAUACAAACUGUAUUAAUUAAA
RNAcentral lists this long non-coding RNA (1420 nucleotides) under Sparus aurata (gilthead seabream). RNAcentral's name for it is "lncRNA (ENSSAUG00010015450.1)". The record is from RNAcentral. Lineage: Eukaryota; Metazoa; Chordata; Actinopteri; Spariformes; Sparidae.